RNAcentral lists this ribosomal RNA (2905 nucleotides) under Salmonella enterica subsp. enterica. Its description in RNAcentral is "23S ribosomal RNA". It matches the Rfam family "Bacterial large subunit ribosomal RNA". The record is from RNAcentral. Lineage: Bacteria; Pseudomonadati; Pseudomonadota; Gammaproteobacteria; Enterobacterales; Enterobacteriaceae. RNAcentral also lists the same sequence under 1 other name.
GGUUAAGCGACUAAGCGUACACGGUGGAUGCCCUGGCAGUCAGAGGCGAUGAAGGACGUGCUAAUCUGCGAUAAGCGCCGGUAAGGUGAUAUGAACCGUUAUAACCGGCGAUUUCCGAAUGGGGAAACCCAGUGUGAUUCGUCACACUAUCAUUAACUGAAUCCAUAGGUUAAUGAGGCGAACCGGGGGAACUGAAACAUCUAAGUACCCCGAGGAAAAGAAAUCAACCGAGAUUCCCCCAGUAGCGGCGAGCGAACGGGGAGGAGCCCAGAGCCUGAAUCAGCAUGUGUGUUAGUGGAAGCGUCUGGAAAGGCGCGCGAUACAGGGUGACAGCCCCGUACACAAAAGCGCAUGUGCUGUGAGCUCGAUGAGUAGGGCGGGACACGUGGUAUCCUGUCUGAAUAUGGGGGGACCAUCCUCCAAGGCUAAAUACUCCUGACUGACCGAUAGUGAACCAGUACCGUGAGGGAAAGGCGAAAAGAACCCCGGCGAGGGGAGUGAAAAAGAACCUGAAACCGUGUACGUACAAGCAGUGGGAGCACCCUUUGGGGUGUGACUGCGUACCUUUUGUAUAAUGGGUCAGCGACUUAUAUUCUGUAGCAAGGUUAACCGUAUAGGGGAGCCGCAGGGAAACCGAGUCUUAACCGGGCGUUAAGUUGCAGGGUAUAGACCCGAAACCCGGUGAUCUAGCCAUGGGCAGGUUGAAGGUUGGGUAACACUAACUGGAGGACCGAACCGACUAAUGUUGAAAAAUUAGCGGAUGACCUGUGGCUGGGGGUGAAAGGCCAAUCAAACCGGGAGAUAGCUGGUUCUCCCCGAAAGCUAUUUAGGUAGCGCCUCGUGAAUUCAUCUCCGGGGGUAGAGCACUGUUUCGGCUAGGGGGCCAUCCCGGCUUACCAACCCGAUGCAAACUGCGAAUACCGGAGAAUGUUAUCACGGGAGACACACGGCGGGUGCUAACGUCCGUCGUGAAGAGGGAAACAACCCAGACCGCCAGCUAAGGUCCCAAAGUCAUGGUUAAGUGGGAAACGAUGUGGGAAGGCCCAGACAGCCAGGAUGUUGGCUUAGAAGCAGCCAUCAUUUAAAGAAAGCGUAAUAGCUCACUGGUCGAGUCGGCCUGCGCGGAAGAUGUAACGGGGCUAAACCAUGCACCGAAGCUGCGGCAGCGACACUGUGUGUUGUUGGGUAGGGGAGCGUUCUGUAAGCCUGUGAAGGUGGCCUGUGAGGGUUGCUGGAGGUAUCAGAAGUGCGAAUGCUGACAUAAGUAACGAUAAAGCGGGUGAAAAGCCCGCUCGCCGGAAGACCAAGGGUUCCUGUCCAACGUUAAUCGGGGCAGGGUGAGUCGACCCCUAAGGCGAGGCCGAAAGGCGUAGUCGAUGGGAAACGGGUUAAUAUUCCCGUACUUGGUGUUACUGCGAAGGGGGGACGGAGAAGGCUAUGUUGGCCGGGCGACGGUUGUCCCGGUUUAAGCGUGUAGGUGUGUGUUCCAGGUAAAUCCGGUUCACUUUAACACUGAGGCGUGAUGACGAGGCACUACGGUGCUGAAGCAACAAAUGCCCUGCUUCCAGGAAAAGCCUCUAAGCAUCAGGUAACAUCAAAUCGUACCCCAAACCGACACAGGUGGUCAGGUAGAGAAUACCAAGGCGCUUGAGAGAACUCGGGUGAAGGAACUAGGCAAAAUGGUGCCGUAACUUCGGGAGAAGGCACGCUGACACGUAGGUGAAGUGAUUUACUCACGGAGCUGAAGUCAGUCGAAGAUACCAGCUGGCUGCAACUGUUUAUUAAAAACACAGCACUGUGCAAACACGAAAGUGGACGUAUACGGUGUGACGCCUGCCCGGUGCCGGAAGGUUAAUUGAUGGGGUCAGCGCAAGCGAAGCUCCUGAUCGAAGCCCCGGUAAACGGCGGCCGUAACUAUAACGGUCCUAAGGUAGCGAAAUUCCUUGUCGGGUAAGUUCCGACCUGCACGAAUGGCGUAAUGAUGGCCAGGCUGUCUCCACCCGAGACUCAGUGAAAUUGAACUCGCUGUGAAGAUGCAGUGUACCCGCGGCAAGACGGAAAGACCCCGUGAACCUUUACUAUAGCUUGACACUGAACAUUGAGCCUUGAUGUGUAGGAUAGGUGGGAGGCUUUGAAGUGUGGACGCCAGUCUGCAUGGAGCCGACCUUGAAAUACCACCCUUUAAUGUUUGAUGUUCUAACGUGGACCCGUAAUCCGGGUUGCGGACAGUGUCUGGUGGGUAGUUUGACUGGGGCGGUCUCCUCCUAAAGAGUAACGGAGGAGCACGAAGGUUGGCUAAUCCUGGUCGGACAUCAGGAGGUUAGUGCAAUGGCAUAAGCCAGCUUGACUGCGAGCGUGACGGCGCGAGCAGGUGCGAAAGCAGGUCAUAGUGAUCCGGUGGUUCUGAAUGGAAGGGCCAUCGCUCAACGGAUAAAAGGUACUCCGGGGAUAACAGGCUGAUACCGCCCAAGAGUUCAUAUCGACGGCGGUGUUUGGCACCUCGAUGUCGGCUCAUCACAUCCUGGGGCUGAAGUAGGUCCCAAGGGUAUGGCUGUUCGCCAUUUAAAGUGGUACGCGAGCUGGGUUUAGAACGUCGUGAGACAGUUCGGUCCCUAUCUGCCGUGGGCGCUGGAGAACUGAGGGGGGCUGCUCCUAGUACGAGAGGACCGGAGUGGACGCAUCACUGGUGUUCGGGUUGUCAUGCCAAUGGCACUGCCCGGUAGCUAAAUGCGGAAGAGAUAAGUGCUGAAAGCAUCUAAGCACGAAACUUGCCCCGAGAUGAGUUCUCCCUGAGACUUAGAGUCUCCUGAAGGAACGUUGAAGACGACGACGUUGAUAGGCCGGGUGUGUAAGCGCAGCGAUGCGUUGAGCUAACCGGUACUAAUGAACCGUGAGGCUUAACCUU